RNAcentral lists this ribosomal RNA (466 nucleotides) under uncultured bacterium. Its description in RNAcentral is "bacterial SSU rRNA". It matches the Rfam family "Bacterial small subunit ribosomal RNA", at positions 917 to 1382 of the family's 1533-position model. The record is from RNAcentral.
GGGCCCGCACAAGCGGUGGAGCAUGUGGUUUAAUUCGACGCAACGCGAAGAACCUUACCAGGGCUUGACAUCAAGUGAAAGACCUAGAGAUAGGUCCCUCUCUUCGGAGACACGAAGACAGGUGGUGCAUGGUUGUCGUCAGCUCGUGUCGUGAGAUGUUGGGUUAAGUCCCGCAACGAGCGCAACCCCUAUUGUUAGUUGCCAGCAUGUAAUGAUGGGCACUCUAGCGAGACUGCCGUGGACAACACGGAGGAAGGCGGGGAUGACGUCAAAUCAUCAUGCCCCUUAUGUCCUGGGCUACACACGUGCUACAAUGGACGGUACAAAGGGCAGCGAAGCCGCGAGGUGGAGCAAAUCCCAUAAAGCCGUUCUCAGUUCGGAUUGUAGUCUGCAACUCGACUACAUGAAGUCGGAAUCGCUAGUAAUCGCAGGUCAGCACACUGCGGUGAAUACGUUCCCGGGCCUU